RNAcentral lists this ribosomal RNA (459 nucleotides) under uncultured bacterium. RNAcentral's name for it is "partial 16S ribosomal RNA". It matches the Rfam family "Bacterial small subunit ribosomal RNA", at positions 338 to 795 of the family's 1533-position model. The record is from RNAcentral.
CCUACGGGUGGCUGCAGUGAGGAAUAUUGGUCAAUGGGCGGGAGCCUGAACCAGCCAAGCCGCGUGAAGGAAGAAGGCGCCAUGCGUUGUAAACUUCUUUUGUCGGGGAACAAAGGGCGCCACGCGUGGCGUUGUGAGUGUACCCGAAGAAAAAGCAUCGGCUAACUCCGUGCCAGCAGCCGCGGUAAUACGGAGGAUCCGAGCGUUAUCCGGAUUUAUUGGGUUUAAAGGGGGCGUAGGCGGUCCGGAAAGUCAGCGGUAAAAGCCCGGGGCUCAACCCCGGCGCGCGGUUGAAACUGGCGGGCUAGAGAGGGCGAGACGUACGCGGAAUGCGCGGUGUAGCGGUGAAAUGCAUAGAUAUCGCGAAGAACUCCGAUUGCGAAGGCAGCGUACCGGGGCGGGACUGACGCUGAGGCACGAAAGCGUGGGUAUCGAACAGGAUUAGAUACCCGGGUAGUC